UACCCGGUAGUGUAAUUGGUAACACAAGAGGUUUUGGUUCUCUUUUUGGAGGUUCGAGUCCCCCCCGGGUAG
This 72-nucleotide transfer RNA is filed under the name Planctomycetota bacterium. RNAcentral's name for it is "Planctomycetes bacterium (groundwater metagenome) tRNA-Gln". It matches the Rfam family "tRNA". From Rfam's summary of the family: Transfer RNA (tRNA) molecules are approximately 80 nucleotides in length. Their secondary structure includes four short double-helical elements and three loops (D, anti-codon, and T loops). The record is from RNAcentral. Lineage: Bacteria; Pseudomonadati; Planctomycetota.